This is a long non-coding RNA of Esox lucius (northern pike), 934 nucleotides long. RefSeq lists it as uncharacterized. NCBI's taxonomy places the organism in Eukaryota, Metazoa, Chordata, Actinopteri, Esociformes, Esocidae. The record is from RefSeq and is a predicted model, not a curated record. The transcript is spliced from 2 exons.
CAACCAGAGAUCAAAAUGUUCUGUGUCUACAAAACACUACCAAUGACGUCACAGGAAGGUGGCUCUGUGCACACCGGUUCACACAGGUGUCCUUCGCAGGUGUGAGGAAAUGUGCGUCCAGAAAAACGAGUUCAACUUUCCGUGCCGUUAUUUGAGCUUGUAUCACAGAUUAGGUAUGGCUUACAAUGUUGUGGGAAACUGUGCGCCGUUAUUUUUCAUAGCCCUCGCUUUUGACAUUGGUGGUCUGGCCGUUCUUUUAGUUGGUAUUUUCGCAGAUCUUAAAUUGGACGGUCACUUCUACGGUGAUUUCCUAAUCUACACAGGCGCAAUCAUCAUCUUCCUCAGUUUGUUUUGGUGGGUUAUUUGGUACACGGGAAACAUAAAGGUUAACUCCGAGGACCUUGAGAAAAAAAACCUGCACAACUUUGCACACUGGGCGAGAAAGUUUUCCGAGCGGCUGUCUAAAGGCGGCAUUAAAACUCUGGAAGCCGGUGAAAGGUGCAUGGGUAAUGGGAAGGAAUUUGUCAACGGAACGGUGCUGGCGCACGUUCCGCCACGAAUCAACAAAAGCGGUGUGAUGGACAACAUGCCGACAGAGAAAACGGUCGAGUUGGAUUUCCUAAAGAACUCUGAGGUGUUGCAAAGCAUUGCGGAUGGCAAAAGAUUUUUAUGACACAGAUGGGUGAUCUCUGGUUUGAAGAAUGUUUGCCCCACCCUAUUUUAACCCCUACGGACUAAAGACAUUUGCCAAUGUGAACAAAGGAUACUCUCAAUAUUAUUUUAUCCUGGACGAAUGCUGACACAAUCUCUGGACCCUGCAGAGAGAAUAUCAAUCUGUGAAUAGAUGAAUAACUUAAUGUUUUUACAUUCUGAAUUUUUACAUGUUCUUUUUUGGAGCUAACUUCUUUAAAUAAAGUUUAUUAGGUUGUUUUUA